Molecule: ribosomal RNA, 162 nt
Filed under: Acremonium sp. GDM10-2
Lineage: Eukaryota; Fungi; Ascomycota; Sordariomycetes; Hypocreales; Bionectriaceae
Description: partial 5.8S ribosomal RNA
Source: RNAcentral
AUGGCGCCCGCCGGUAAUCCGGCGGGCAUGCCUGUCCGAGCGUCAUUUCAACCCUCAGAACCCCCCUCUCUCGGGAGGACGUUACUGGUGUUGGGGAACGAGCGCCCCCCGCGGCGCCCGUCCCUUAAAUCUAUUGGCGGCUCCGGAGUCUGUCUCCCCUGC